GAGUUUGAUCAUGGCUCAGAACGAACGCUGGCGGCGUGCCUAACACAUGCAAGUCGAGCGAGAAAGCGGCUUCGGCCGUAAGUAAAGCGGCACACGGGUGAGUAACACGUAGGCAAUCUUCCGUCGGAAUCGGGAUAACCUGCCGAAAGGCGGGCUAAUACCGGAUAAGGUCACGAGGUCUUCGGACUUUGUGACAAAAGGCAGCUCGAAGAGGGUUGCGUCUGACGAUGAGCCUGCGGCCCAUCAGGUAGUUGGCGGGGUAACGGCCCACCAAGCCUAGGACGGGUAGGCUGGUCUGAGAGGACUGAUCAGCCACACUGGAACUGAGACACGGUCCAGACUCCUACGGGAGGCAGCAGUGGGGAAUUUUGGGACAAUGGGCGCAAGCCUGAUCCAGCAACGCCGCGUGGGUGAUGAAGGCC
This 422-nucleotide ribosomal RNA is filed under the name uncultured delta proteobacterium. RNAcentral describes it as "bacterial SSU rRNA". It matches the Rfam family "Bacterial small subunit ribosomal RNA", at positions 9 to 416 of the family's 1533-position model. The record is from RNAcentral. Lineage: Bacteria; Deltaproteobacteria.